Molecule: unclassified non-coding RNA, 283 nt
Filed under: plant metagenome
Description: partial contains small subunit ribosomal RNA, internal transcribed spacer 1, and 5.8S ribosomal RNA
Rfam family: 5.8S ribosomal RNA (bases 235-283)
Source: RNAcentral
UUUCCGUAGGUGAACCUGCGGAAGGAUCAUUAUUGUAUAACCGAGGUGCGAGGGCUGUCGCUGACCCGAAAGGUCGUGCACGCCCGAGUGCCCUCACACACAUCCAUCUCACCCCUAUGUGCACCACCGCGUGGGUCCCCCUUUGGCUUGUUCGGAGGGGGGCUUACGUUUACACACAAACUUUGUAUGCAGUGUAGAAUGUAUUUUUUGUUUUUGCGAUCACGCAAUCAAUACAACUUUCAACAACGGAUCUCUUGGCUCUCGUAUCGAUGAAGAACGCAGC